GUGAGUKGGAACUGCGAGUGUAGAAGGUGAAAAUUYGKWGGAUAUUCGCAWGRAACACCAGKUGGYGAAKGGCGGCUUCAYUKGCCCCGGUACUGACGYUGARGGUGCGAAAGCGUGGGGGAGCAAACSGGGAUUUAGAUACCCUGGGUAGUCCACGCCGUWAAACGAUGGGAUGCUAGCCGUUGGCAGGCUUGCCUGUCAGUKGGCGCAGCUAACGCAUUAAGCAUCCCGCCUGGGGAGUACGGUCGCAAGAUUAAAACUCAAAGGAAUUGWCGGGGGCCCGCACAAGCGGUGGAGCAUGUGGUUCAAUUCGAAGCAACGCGCAGAACCUUACCAACCUUUGACAUGUCCCGUAUGAGCACCAGAGAUGGAGUUCUUCAGUUCGGCUGGCGGGAACACAGGUGCUGCAUGGCUGUCGUCAGCUCGUGUCGUGAGAUGUUGGGUUAAGUCCCGCAACGAGCGCAACCCUCGCCCUUAGUUGCCAUCAUUCAGUUGGGCACUCUAAGGGGACUGCCGGUGAUAAGCCGCGAGGAAGGUGGGGAUGACGUCAAGUCCUCAUGGCCCUUACAGGUUGGGCUACACACGUGCUACAAUGGCGGUGACAAUGGGAUGCAAUGGAGCAAUCCUGCGCAAAUCUCAAAAAGCCGUCUCAGUUCGGAUUGCUMUCUGCAACUCGAGAGCAUGAAGUUGGAAUCGCUAGUAAUCGCAGAUCAGCACGSUGCGGUGAAUACGUUCCCGGGCCUUGUACACACCGCCCGUCACACCAUGGGAGUUGGUUUUACCUGAAGACGGUGCGCUAACCGCAAGGAGGCAGCCGGCCACGGUAGGAUCAGCGACUGGGGUGAAGUCGUAACAAGGUAGC
Molecule: ribosomal RNA, 862 nt
Filed under: uncultured bacterium
Lineage: Bacteria
Description: partial 16S ribosomal RNA
Rfam family: Bacterial small subunit ribosomal RNA
Source: RNAcentral